Molecule: long non-coding RNA, 859 nt
Filed under: Homo sapiens (human)
Lineage: Eukaryota; Metazoa; Chordata; Mammalia; Primates; Hominidae
Description: HSALNT0087333
Source: RNAcentral
UUGACAGAGAGCUCUAUAGUAAUGCCAAAACUUUUUAUUUAAUAAUGUGUUUAUAAUUUGUUUCUUGCCUGAGUCUAAAAAGGAUCUAAAGUGUUUUCUUCGGCAUACAUACACCUUUUUAACCACACAUCUAUUUAUUGAACAUGGACUGUGUGUGAAGUACUCUUCCAUGUUCCUGUACUCAACACAAUACUGAAAGUAAAGAACUUCAUAUUUGAUACAUAAAAACAAUAGAGAAAUAGACAAUUCCAGCAACUUUUGAUCUCACAGUAAUGCCAGAUCUUUGAAUCCUGAUACAUAAAAUUUUAUUAAUAUCUUCACAUAUUUGUAUUCUACAAUGACUGUUUUAUAAAAAGGUAGUCAAUGAAAUGGUUUGAGGCAGGGCUUUGCUUUCUGGAUGGAUGUUAAUUGAAAAGAAAAAACUAUAGUUCAAACUACUGUAAGUAGCAUUUUAAAUAGACAUGAGUCAACCAAAGCAUAGUUCCCAAACUCAUACUCACUGUUUAUUAUGGUUAAUACAAUUUUAGAUUAGUAAAAUGUGCAAUCUUGGACUUACAUUUUUAAGUAAAAUAAAUAAUUUAUGAUACACUGGUGUUCUUUGUGAAAUCGAAGGAUAGAGUAUAUUUACUCUUUACAUUUUUGUUACUGGAUUUUCCUUCCAACAGAAGUAAAUAUACUAAGAAGGAAAGAACACUUCAUAAGAAGUUAGAAGAUCUGAGUUAUAGUCUAUUUUUACUUACCAGACAACUGCAUGAACUUAGGCAAGUUAUUUAGCCUACUCAGACCUUAGUAAUUUACUCUAAAAAUGAUUUUAACUAGAUAACCUAUGCUGUGCUUUCUGACUUGAAAUUUUGUGAUC